UCUCCAGAACAUAUAGAUCUGGAGGCCACCCCCUUCUUCUUCCUCCUCUCCGGCAGAUCUCCCCGGCGGUUUUCUUGCAGUUUUCGCUGCUGUUUAUGUGUAUAUAUGUAUGUAGCUAAUGGUUUGUUUUGCGGUGGUGGUGGCCGGAGGCACGGCCAGGUGACAGAAGAGAGUGAGCACACAGCGGGGAGACUGCACCUAUUCCAUCGCGGCGGCGAUGGCGCGCGACGGCGUAUAUGAAUGGUGCAGCUGCUGCUGCGUGCUCACUUCUCUCUCUGUCACCUAUCUCUCUCUCCCAGCCUCCCUGCUGCCACACGCACUCGCCAUUAUCUACCCCUCUCUCAGUCUCUCUCUUGCAGCUAGCACCCUUAUACAGUAACUUUGUGGUUCCGGCGAUCGAUGAGAUAAACCUCUCGCGCGGUGGCGAGAUAAGGGCGGGACCUCGUCCUUAUCUUGUACUCGUCCUGUCAGGGGGCGCCCUACGUGCCCGUCUUCCAUGGGCGCACGGAUCGAGGAGAGGAGGAUUCGACCCCUAUUUUGGAGUAAGGUACAUCCAUCCGGCCGGCUAGCUACUCCUGCACCUGCACGCAUGCUCGUUGCCCUUUCCCUUUGCAGGUCUUGUCUCAGUUUUCCAAGGGUUAAGGGCCUCGGGGCAAGCAGAGACCUGCGCGCGUGACGAAUUGAUUAAUACUACGGCCGCCGAUCCAUCUCGCGUCUUUCCAUGGAUGCUCUCUCCCUCUCUCUCUCUCGUAGCAGAACAAAGUCUUUGCACUGUUUGACUGCAAGUAUGCAUGGAACCGUAUAAACUCCUCUCUUUACUCUCUCCUUUCUCCCGAGAUUGAUCUACUUACUGUAUCUGUCAAUUUCUCUCCAGAUAGAACCGGAUCUAUUCUCGCCUAUCUCCUUUCUCCCGAGAUCUGUGGUCUUUUCUUCCUUCGAUUCAGUUUCUUGUGUGCAGUUCGCUUCGUGUUAAUUCUUGGUACUAUGAUCUCAUGUGUUGAGUUAGGACGGGGGACAGCCAUGGCAGUGUCGCUGUUUCGAGGAAGAAGAUCUGCCUGCCCUGAAGAGGAAAGGAGCAUCAGUGCGAUUGCCUUUCCAGAUCUGGUAACUGCUUCCGGGGGAAUUCUUGCGACCUAGAAAACAAAUGAUCAGCGUCAGAAUUGCACAGCAGAUGCCAGUUCCGAGUUUUUUUUUCUUGGUAGUGUGUGCUUUCACCAUCUUUAUUUCAUGGUGUAGAUCAAAUGAAAAUACUGCCUAACAAAUUAAAACAUUAUUCCUUUUUAGCUAUGUUAUGGUGAAUAUAAGUUGGAACUGGUAGUAGUAUAUGUGACAUACUUUGUAUAAAUCAUUGAGAAUCAUGUUUUUAGCUAUAAUAAACGAUACCUAAAAGCAAAGGUACAGCUAAAUGGAAAACCAUACUAGAGUCAUCUGGAAGUCAAAUAUGUGUUGUAAAUGUUUUAUUAAGCUUUUUGGUUGCACAUGAUCUUAUUUUGGAGGUGUGAUCCACCUGCAUGUGUCUAUGCUUAUAUUUGGAAAUCGUUUUAUAGAUAGGCAUUAUUUGCCAUAAAAUCUUGCCCUACUUGUCUAAAAUAUGCGCAAACUCUUCAUUAGUGAUCUCACCCUAUUCCAUGUACAGAUAUAGUACGUACUACAAAUUUAUUUAUUAAAAUCCCGAACCAAAUUUAAAUUUAUAUGGUCCCCUGAUUCUGAAUUUAUACUAGAUUAACAAUAACUAAAGUUCGCAAAAAGGUAAAUUUAUGGUCCCCUGAUUCUGAAUUUAUACUGUUAAUAAUUACCAGGGACCAACUGUAUGUUUGGUCCAGUUGGUAAUUUUAUGAAUUAUCAACCUCAUGCUAACUAAUUGCACAUGUUUGUCAACACUAAAACGUACAAGUGUGAACUUCGUUACAACAAAUAGUGAAAACAACCACGAUAUAAGCUCCACUAAACAAUCGCCAUCCUCUAGUCUUUAUAUUUGGACAUUAGGGUAUGUACUUAUAUAUAUUGUUUCACAUAUUGAACUGCUCCUUAAUCAUGCCAUAUUUCGCAUAAUGUUCCGUGUUGUAGCCACUAAUGUUGCUAGCUAGACAUUGAUCGAUCUCAUGUUGUUCGAUCAGGUCGCUCACUCAUCUUCCAAGAUAAUCUAAAUAUGCCAUUUUGAACAUUCUCUAGCCGUGUGGCAUGGCCUUGGACCUGAGUGUACAGUGUUCCACAGUCCGUGGAAUCAAGUGGUCUCCUAUCUUUUCCUAAUUAAUGAUAGCGAUCCACAUCCAUUUUCUCGAUUGUUUCUUGAUCAGAGCAACGUGCAGGCUACCAAUGUGCUGCAGUGAAGCGCCAUGUGGAUGCAUGCCUAGAGCCUCCUCAGUUAACAGUUAUCCAUAUGCCCAAUCUGAGCCGGCAAACAACUUCUGUGAACAUGUUCGUGGGCACGUGUUGCCACCGUUUGGACAUGUGGAGAUAAAAUUCUGAACAUCUGAAGGCAUGAACUUGAUGCAGGUUCCACCUUUUGUUGGUCCCUAGAUAUGAACGUGCAUGUGUGUAUACCCCUGAUGAUGAACAUACAUUGUGGUCUGUACGUAAUUUGUGUAAGCUAUCCUCUGAUGAACAUUGUAAGUCUGUAGCUUAUGAAGUAAAGAACAAUGCAUCUUUUGAUUGGUAAUAUUGAUCAUG
Molecule: long non-coding RNA, 2670 nt
Organism: Lolium perenne
Lineage: Eukaryota; Viridiplantae; Streptophyta; Magnoliopsida; Poales; Poaceae
Source: RefSeq, a predicted model, not a curated record